UACGGAGGGGGCUAGCGUUGUUCGGAAUUACUGGGCGUAAAGCGCACGUAGGCGGAUCAGAAAGUCAGAGGUGAAAUCCCAGGGCUCAACCUUGGAACUGCCUUUGAAACUCCUGAUCUUGAGGUCGAGAGAGGUGAGUGGAAUUCCGAGUGUAGAGGUGAAAUUCGUAGAGAUUCGGAGGAACACAAGUGGCGAAGGCGGCUCACUGGCUCGAUACUGACGCUGAGGUGCGAAAGAGUGGGGAGCAAACAGG
RNAcentral lists this ribosomal RNA (253 nucleotides) under uncultured bacterium. RNAcentral's name for it is "partial 16S ribosomal RNA". It matches the Rfam family "Bacterial small subunit ribosomal RNA", at positions 524 to 776 of the family's 1533-position model. The record is from RNAcentral.